AUGGGUCACGGCCCGUGCACCCUUCCCUUACAAAAGCUUGCCCUAAUCCGCUGGUAUAUAAGUAUUCUUUCGGUGUGCGUGCAGCAUCCACCCGCAGUCUCCCUUUCAAUCCAAAUCCGCCGCCGCCGCUCUCCGCUGACCAUGGAGCGCCAGCCAAACCGGCGCCGCGGCCGCGCCCCCCAGCAGGUCCACGGCGACGGCCCCCUUCCCCAGGGCGGAGGCCCCCUUCCCCAGCAGGUCCAGGGCGUUGUCCCCGUCGCACAGCAGGUCCUGAUCCGCUCUCCCCUCACCCCUCUCUUCACCGGUCGUUCCCUGUUCCUUACCCUGUUGAACUCGUGUUGUCUCGUUGGUUGUACCUGGCAGGUGCCGCCAAACACAGUCCCAGGGGAGUUGCAAUUCAAGGCCUAUGAGUUCAUGAAGUUUGAGCCGAAAUACCUGAAGCUGCCAAGGCGUGCGCCAGCAGUGGAGAGUACCAGGUUUCUUUUUCAUAGAGACACGGACAGGACUGGAAGCACUGUUGGUGAUCUUAUAAAAAGGAAGGCGUACAAUAGGGCUGAGAAGCUGGGAGACAAGAGGAGGCAGUACCUGCAGGUCCUUCCAGAGACCAAGGACAAUGAAGAAUUACUGAAGAAACUUGACAACGAACUGGCAGGGCUGCUGCAUAGCCUGGACAGCGCUAUUGCAGAGCUCGAUGCCGUCGUCCCCGGCAAUUUUGCGCGCCCCAACCACUUCAGCAAGCCUCCAGCCCUGAACAAGUAG
This 759-nucleotide ribosomal RNA is filed under the name Triticum aestivum (bread wheat). RNAcentral describes it as "partial small subunit ribosomal RNA". Lineage: Eukaryota; Viridiplantae; Streptophyta; Magnoliopsida; Poales; Poaceae. The record is from RNAcentral.